Molecule: long non-coding RNA, 1733 nt
Organism: Nothobranchius furzeri (turquoise killifish)
Lineage: Eukaryota; Metazoa; Chordata; Actinopteri; Cyprinodontiformes; Nothobranchiidae
Source: RefSeq, a predicted model, not a curated record
GUUCAGCAGUCUGGCGUCCAGGAGGGACAAAAACAGGACAACAAGGUUAAGGGAAACAGCAACAGCUGAGGGCUUCUUCAUCUGAGAAUAAAAGUGACGAGAGCAACUCCACAAGAGAUGAAGCACCUUCUCCAGCGGUCGACUGUCUGUUCCCUUCAGUCCCACUCUGUUCUCGUCAGAGGGAGAGGUGAGGCCUGGAGGAGGUGAGGGGUGCGACCUGGUACCAGUCAUAACUUCUGAACCGGGAGAAAGUGCAAAACCUGAUGAGCAAAACGGACAAAUAAAAGGUGAGGAGCGGAGGGGCACCAGCUGUGCCGAGUUAAUCAUUUGGAGCUCAGGUUUAAAAGGAGGAUGGAGACACCACUCGAAGCCGGAUGAUUACUUCAGUUAUGGAUUUUCACCACACCUUCACUAUUCAGCUAAAGAACCACGGAUCUUCAUUCCACGUCCCAUCCUCCUCCUCAGCUCCUGGAUCUCCCCUCUCUGCUGCCUCACCUCACGCCCGGCUGGGUCUCCACUCUCAUCCACCUCUGCUCCCCACUACCCCACGGCUCGCUGAGAUAGGACUUUGGACUUAUCGCCCACGGCAUUACUCACUGGUUUUCCAGUGCUCCUUUAGUUCUCAUUUGUGAAUAAAAUACUUUUAUUUCUUACCUUCUGACUCCCGUGUUGAUUCUGCAUGUCUUGGGUUAAACGCCUUCCCCCAGUCAUGACAACUACUUGGUUUUACUCUUCUCUUAGCUGAACUCUUCUAAAAACGAUUAGCCUAUUUUACACAAAUCAGAAAUUAAACGCUGAGUUCCUUGAAGGAAAUCCAAUCACCAAACACCUCAUAACAGUUUCAUAGGUGCAAUCAGGGGCUGUGGACGAGCUGUUUCUCCCCUCCCUGAAAACACUCAUCAGGUGCUCUAGGUCUCAACCAUUGCAAUCAGCUGCUGCAUGAACACCUGUUUCCAACUAGUAGCACAGCAUAAGUUUGGUUGCACAACUGAAGCGUCAGCGGAAGCUUCAGCCCUUGUGUCUCAGCCCGUCCGAGGUAAAGACAUACGUGUCCACCUGCGCGUGUCCACAGAGCAAACAAACUCGACUCAGACGCUGCUCCAUCGACACCUUGCAAAAUGUGCCAUUAUCCUAUAUCUGUGAUCAUUGGCUUCAGAGGAAGGUCACACACAGCAUACCGCUUUUGCAACCUUCAAAACCUCCGCUCGCUAAAACCAACUCCCCCUGAAGACACUCACCUGUCUAUGGGACUGUGGAACUGCCAAUCAGCUGUAAACAGACUUCAUUACCGCAUAUGCGAACCACCUGUCACUCGAUACACUGGCUCUCACCGAGACCUGGAUCAAACCAUGUGACAAUGCUACCCCAUCUGCUCUCUAAAUUAACCACACUUUCUCCCACACUUCUCGUGCAUCUGGCCGAGGUGGUGGAACGGGCAUGUUAAUUUCCAACAAACUGAUAUACAGUCAGUUGCUACCCGUCACUAAACACAACUCCUUUGAAUACCAUGCUAUCCAGGUAACUGUACCGAAAAAAAUCUUUUUGGUUGUCAUAUAUCGCCAACCAGGUCAACUAGGAGACUUUCUUGAUGAACUUGACACCCUACUCUCCUCCGUUCCUGAGCACGACUGUCCAACAAUGGUCCUUGGAGACAUGAAUAUUCACCUGGACAAUCCCAGUUCACCAGGCUUCCUGUCACUAAUGUCAUCAUUUGAUCUAAAACUAGUACAAAG